CCUACGGGAGGCAGCAGUGGGGAAUAUUGCACAAUGGGCGCAAGCCUGAUGCAGCCAUGCCGCGUGUGUGAAGAAGGCCUUCGGGUUGUAAAGCACUUUCAGCGGGGAGGAAGGCGUUAAGGUUAAUAACCUUGGCGAUUGACGUUACCCGCAGAAGAAGCACCGGCUAACUCCGUGCCAGCAGCCGCGGUAAUACGGAGGGUGCAAGCGUUAAUCGGAAUUACUGGGCGUAAAGCGCACGCAGGCGGUCUGUCAAGUCGGAUGUGAAAUCCCCGGGCUCAACCUGGGAACUGCAUUCGAAACUGGCAGGCUAGAGUCUUGUAGAGGGGGGUAGAAUUCCAGGUGUAGCGGUGAAAUGCGUAGAGAUCUGGAGGAAUACCGGUGGCGAAGGCGGCCCCCUGGACAAAGACUGACGCUCAGGUGCGAAAGCGUGGGGAGCAAACAGGGUUAGAUACCCGGGUAGUC
RNAcentral lists this ribosomal RNA (465 nucleotides) under uncultured Klebsiella sp. RNAcentral's name for it is "bacterial SSU rRNA". It matches the Rfam family "Bacterial small subunit ribosomal RNA", at positions 338 to 795 of the family's 1533-position model. Lineage: Bacteria; Pseudomonadati; Pseudomonadota; Gammaproteobacteria; Enterobacterales; Enterobacteriaceae. The record is from RNAcentral.